UAUUAGUCCCCUACUUUUGAAACAGACUGGUUCACCCUCAUAUUACGCAACAAGUGUUAGUAUCGCAAGAAGCUCCUUUGAUUUCUUUCUUGAAUAGUAAAGCUCCUUAGAACUUUAAUUAGUGUUUACUGUAGAAGUAACUGUUAUCUUUGAUAUUCAACAAGAUAAAUGUUUUUACUUUACAGGAUCCUCAGGUGGUGACUGGCUCUCAUGACACAACCAUUAAGUUUUGGGAUCUUAGAGGUGGGAAAUCAAUGCUAACCCUCACCCAUCAUAAGAAAUCUGUUCGAGCAAUGGCACAACAUCCUACAGAGAACAGUUUUGCAUCUGCAUUAGCAGACAACAUAAAGAAAUUCAACCUUCCUCGAGGAGAGUUUCUGCAUAAUAUGCU
Magnolia sinica is the source of this 391-nucleotide long non-coding RNA. RefSeq lists it as uncharacterized. The record is from RefSeq and is a predicted model, not a curated record. The transcript is spliced from 3 exons. NCBI's taxonomy places the organism in Eukaryota, Viridiplantae, Streptophyta, Magnoliopsida, Magnoliales, Magnoliaceae.